This is a long non-coding RNA of Sarcophilus harrisii (Tasmanian devil), 6786 nucleotides long. RefSeq lists it as uncharacterized. The transcript has 3 exons. Lineage: Eukaryota; Metazoa; Chordata; Mammalia; Dasyuromorphia; Dasyuridae. The record is from RefSeq and is a predicted model, not a curated record.
GGGAGAGGAGAGCCGGGAGCAAAGGGAGAGGAGGAAGAGAGCAAAGAGAAGGAGAGAGGGAGGGGAGGGGAGAGGGAAGAAAGAAUCCUGCAUCUUGCUUCCACCUGGAUUGCCAAGUUGAAGCACAAGCAAAGCUAGAUUUGAGACAUAAGUGGUGAGGAGUAAAAACAGCAACCUGAGAACCACAGUAAUAAUAAUAAUAAUAAUAAUAAUAAUAGUGAUAUUUAGCAUUUCUAGAGCAGCUCAUUUGUGCCCCAGCCUGCACUAAGCCCGUUACAAACACAACAUUGGAGCUUCACAAUUCUGGAAGGAGGAGCUACAGUGACCCCCAUUUUACAGAGAAGGAAACUGAGGCAAACUGCGAUUAAGUGACUGGCCCGGCCUGGCCGGCUGGUGAGUCUCCGAGGCUGGAUGCGGCUCCGCUCCUGUGGCCGCGCUCCGUCCCCGCUGCUCAGGAGUACCAGCCCUCCCGCGCCCGGGAAGAGUCUCAGUUUCUCCAUAACGGUCUCGUACAGCCUCGUCCUAAAGAAAGCGUUUUGAGCUGAAGGCAUGUGUGGACUCGUGAGGAGGCUAUUCCUGCGCCUCUCGGGGUUGGGGGCCCGGCGGGGGGCCCUAAUUCGUCACGGGGCAGAAAGGACAGAUGGAAAGCCUGCCUGUGACACCCCACGGCCCGGUCUGAAGCGCCCAGCGUCCGCAGACCACCUCCCCACCAGCUCCAGGUCUCCCAAAACAAACGGAAGCAAUCUGCCCUCCGGGAGCUUCCGCCCCAGCGCAGAAGCCACCGAGGGAAGGGGAAGGAGGGCCCAGUAAUUCCCCAAAAAGGGGAGAGGGAGGGGGGCUCAGUGUGGGCCAAGGCUUGGAGGUGGGCAGCGCGGGCCAGUCAGCCUGAGGAGAGUCUGGAGUCCGGCUGGAAGGGGCAGCGAGAGGCGGGAGAAGGACGACGCCCCAGCCAGGCAGCAGGGCUCGCCUCCGGAGCUGCGGGGUCUGGGGCAAGUCACAGAUCCCGACGCCCGGAGGCAGUCCUCAGUUUGCGAUGUGCUGGGAAUGAAGGGAGGACCCGGAGAAAGGAGGCACUUCAGGGGCUUCCUGGGAGAGCCCAGCGGGAAAGGGGAGGGGCAGCCAUCCCACUCCGCUCUGCCCAGAGCCCCCCAGAGGCCGGGGGCACCAUCUGUUGGGAGGGACAUUGAGAAGUCCCCCCAGAGGGGGUUCCCUGCUGGCCGGGCCCCUGGAGGGCUGAGUCCAGGCAGGCCUGGGGAGGCCCACGGGGGUGUUUUGGGAGAAGCGGGCCAGGGACCCACACUGACAAAAAACAGAUGGGGGGGAGGGGAGCCAAGGUGGGGGAGGGAGAGUAAGCCUUGGAGUCUAGCUCCUCACACACACUCACACUCACUCACACUCACACACACACACACACAAACACUCACACCUCCUCAACAAAAGACUUAGAGAACGCAGCAGACUGAAUUCUGAUCAGUCACUCCUGAGUCAUUUCUGAGUCACAGGGAGCCAGCCCAGCGUGAAUUAGGAAGACAGACAGAGGGGUCUAACCAUAGAACGUGGCUGUGGCCGUGGCUGUGACUGUGACCAUGACUGUGACUGGGGCCGUGGUAGUGACUGUGACUGGCCGCGACUGUGGCCGUGGCUAUGGCCCUGACUGUGGUCGUGGCCGUGGCAGUGGCUGUGGCCGUGGCUGUGACUGUGGCCGUGGCUGUGGCCAUGACUGGCCGUAGCUGUGGCUGUGCCCAUGACUGGCCCUGACUGUGAUUGUGGCCAAGGCCAGAAGGGACUGAGAGAUCCCAUGGGAUCCUGAGUGCAGCAAAUCGUACUCUGGCAAUUCUGGCUCAAGAAAUAACUACAGAACGAGAGCUUGGGCUCCUGGCACUCACAAGCUGCCCUCCAGGCUCCCGGCAUCAUGGGCACUGGUGGUGAGUUCCCAGAGCCUGCAGUGUGCCAGGGACCCGUGCCCAGGGAUCGAUGUCACUGGAAAUGAAUGCAAAAGAAGGAAGGAGGUGGGGUUUAAAUGACCGUGGCCCCCCUCGGUGCAGGAGCUGCUGGGCUUGGGGGCUGAGAGUGGAGGGAUUCUGUUCCCGCUACCACGUUCUGACCAGCAGUUACCGCUGGCACGCCUUCCCUCCUCUUCCCCUGGGACACCAUCUCCCCGGCGCUCCUCUGCCAGGGGGGCUCCCUGGUCUCCAGGCAGGAGUUCUGGCCGCCCCUCUGUAGCCCUGCGCCAGUCUCUCAGACAAGGAGCACUGUCCAGCCUCCAGCCCCCCAAAGGACCUGAGCAUGCCCACCUCCCGCUCCCUUGAGAACGGUCACUCACUCCUUCCAUCUUUCCUUGCCCCAGAAGGGUCAAACUCCAGGGGAGUCCAGCAGGAAGGUGGCACAGGAAACGGGGCAGGGGCAUUUCAGCCACCCCAGUCCUUUUAAACAAGGGAAGCUGGGGGUGAAGCCUCGGCCUCUGUGCUGGCUAGCUGGGCUUCGCUCGCUUCCCUUCCCCUGCCUCAUCCUCUCCCCAUUCUGGAUGGGCUUCUGUGUGGCAAUCACAAAGGAGAGCAUGUCUCAGCCCCUGGCAGGGAAGGCAGCCAGGCUCUAUUUAUAAACGCAUUGACAAAGUCCUGAAAAGCCUCUGCUGCCCAAAGCUGCUUCUCCCUCCCCACGUUUGCAGAGGCCGGACCCCGGCAGGCCCGCAGCCCAGCUGUGCCUUUCAUGUGCCAGCCGGGGCAGAGAUUGGAUCUAGGAAACGCCUUUAAGUCCUGGCCCAGACGCAAACUGCCUGGGGAGCAGGGGCAGAUCACCCCUUGGAGCUCUUGAGUCCAGCCCCAACUUUCUCCAGCAAGGAAACUGAGGCUGGGGGGGAGGAGUUGGCUCCUGAGCCAGCGAGAGGGCCCAGCACAAGGCCUCAGGCUUCUGACUCCAGAACUGUUCUAAGGGGAGGAGAGAGGAAACAUGGGAGGAAGACUGGCAGGGGGAGGGGGAGGGGGGAAGGCUGGCAGGGGGCAUCCACAGCCACAAACCACCUUUCUCUGCCAUUCUCCAGUCUGGCCGGAGGGACGUGUCCAAAGUCACUCGGCUCCUAAGGGCCGGAGCUUCGGCCGGAGCCCUAACAAAGGCCCCAGACACAACAGGGAAGGCCGCAGUGUCCUGCCAGCCCCCGAAGCUCCCCCAGAAGCAGACUUGGCCCAAGGGAGCGCAAGAGCUGGGCGGGGCAACUCUGGAGCCCUUGUCUCUGAAGGGGGCAGGGGCGCCAUCCGUGCUGCGGGUCUUUGUGAAUGAACAUGAGAGAAGGCGCCAUCUUGGCAAUGGGGUGGACGUGAGUCCCCCAAAGCACAGAGCAGGCUUUCACCGUUCGGGCCCGGCCUCUGCAUCGGCUGCUGACAGGCGCCCGAAGAGGAGGAAUUAGAAGUCUUUGCCUCCAUUCAUCUCCACAGGCAACCGCAGACACGUGAGUCUAAAGAUAGCUGAUGGCGGCCGCGGGGGUGUCUGAGGAGGCUGGGGGCUCUCAGCCUCUCCAGAGGCAGGAGCCACGGGGGCACCUCCCCAAGACUGGCAGCACUCCUUCUGAAGUGAGGCUGGCCUGGGCUGGGCAGGGGCCGUGGGGGCACCUCCCCGAGACUGGCAGCGUGGGGCAGCGCUCCUUCCGAAGUGAGGCUGGCCUGGGCUGGGCAGGGGCUGUGGGGGCACCUCCCCGAGACUGGCAGCGUGGGGCAGCGCUCCUUCUGAAGUGAGGUUGGCCUGGGCUGGGCAGGGACAUCUCAGACAUGGGGGGGAUCCCCAAGGUCCUAGUUGCUGAAGGCUCUGGACCACCCGGAAGGGGCUGGGGCUUCUCGAGGACUGGAGUCUGGGCAGGGAACGCAGGGGAAGCACAUGUGGUCCCUGCGGGGGAGGCCCCGCUGCUUCAUCAGGGAGGUUCCUGGCCAGGGGCUCUGAUACUUCCCCACUGGUUCCUCUGGAAGCUCCCCUUCUCUCAGCUUUGUUGCCUGGAGAUGACCGAGUGAGUGACUCCUGCCUCGGGAGCGGACUGGCUUCCCCAACUGAGGAGGGGCAGGAGACACCACGAACAGGGAGCUGAGACCCAGCAAAAGGAGCCACAUGUGUCACAAUGACCCGGGAGGGCCCUGAUGUGCAAUCACCUCCCUGUGGCUCACAAUCACUCCGGGAGGGAGCGGAGCUCCUGUGUAAGCUUAUCCCCAUUUCUUGGAUGAGGAAACAGAGGCUCAGAAAGAAGUGACCUGCCAAGGUUGCACACAUGAAAGUUUUUGUCAGUCAAUUGAUAGACAUUAAUUGAGUGCCUGCUGUAUACUAAAGAACUAAAGAAUGGACCAAAUCCUGACAUCAAAAGGCAUCCUGAGGAAGAAGGGGGAUAGGAAUUCAUACUUCAGAGUAUGGACGGACAAAUUUCAAAGGUCAAUUCUUGGGGCAAGACACCAUCCUUACGCACUGGGACAGUCGGGGGAGCACUCGGUCUGCUAAGGGGAGGCCCUGAGCAUGAAUGAAUCUGGUCUAAUACACAAGGUGAUGGGGGGGCAGAAGGCAGAGAUUCAGCUCCUGGGGCCAAGGAAAAUCGGCUGGAAAGAGCCGCUGGAGGCAGGAGUGGCCACAGAGCAGGAGCUCAGCGAAGGCUUCCUGGAGGAGGGGCCCCCACAAAGCUCUGAAGGCAGAGAAAGAGUGGGGGGGAUGAAAAUGCCUUACAUGGAAGGGGAGGGGAAGGACAUGCUGGGAGAUGCGUGAGAGGUUUGUUUUUUUUUUUUUUUUUAAGCCUUAAUCAAACCAAGAGGUCUGCGCUAAGGGACUUAGAGUCAGCCCCCAGCAUUUGUGGGUGAGCAGGCUGAGGCCCCCGAUAAAGGACCCGCCCUGAGGCUGCAGAUGACCGAUCUCCUCCCUCCCAAGCAUUUUCCCUGGGGCUGCAACGACCAGACAGGCUCCCGAUGAGAGACCUGGGCUCUGACCCUGGAAGCCCGAGGCUUUCCCCGAAGGCCCCUUUCGGAUCAGCCAAAGCUCCUGGUUGGUUCCCCAACAAAGCAAGAAUAAUCUAACUGAACACGGGAUCCCAAAAGGGCGGGUGAGAGUCUGUCCCCGCCCUGCUCUGACCCGCCCUGGCUGCUGUGGCCACGUGGGGCACCAAGACCCGAGACGGCCCGGACAGGCUGAAGGGCUCUCUGAGCAAUGAGAUCAGUAACUCAUCCGUGGCAGCGAUGGGAGCAUUAGCGGCGGAAAACUCGAGGGGACGCGAGAGCUGGCUACGGGGUCACUAUUCCGGGGGCAAAAGUGGGGAAGCUUCGGAAAGCAAGAUUUCAAACUGACUCCCAGCAGAAGCGCGGCUCCAAAGGGAGGGAGCGAGGUCUCCGUGCCCAGAGGUAUCCAAAGGCAUGUGGCCCCUCACCAGGGGUGUAUAAAAGCAUCAGAAGCAGCUCACAUUAGGGCUUCAGCCGCCUGAGCUGGGCUCUUGCACAAGAUGAUGCCCGGACUCCUGACGUGCCUGUGCAGGAGGGCCCAGGGUCAGGGCAAGGGGAGGCUCAGCUGUUGCUCCCGACACAACCAGUGCGAGUGCUAGCCUCCCGAGCCUCCUGAGCCUCCCAAGCAUCCUGAGCCUCCCAAGCAUCCCGAGCCUCCUGAGCCUCCCGAGCAUCCCUCACCUCCCUCACCUCCCGCCUGGGAAUGAGCUCUGGCCCAGGCCCGUCUGCCGGGGGGCGGAGAACACUGUUUCAGCAGGAGUGGCUCACACACGAGUAGGAGAAAGAAGCCAUUUACCAGAGCAGAGGCAAACUGCUAUUUUAAACCCUCCUUCCCAGCCUGAGUACGGCUUUAUUUCGGUGCUUUUGGCAAAGGCCAUGUGCAUACACUUUCCGUUGAAAAAUCCCAUGUUUAGGCUUUAAUAAGUCACCGAGUGGUUUGUUUUGUAAGAAAUAUUCGUGUUUGGCAAAUUCUAGAACGUUUGGGGGGUUCCUGGCUUCGUAGCCACGUGUUGGAAGGGCCCAGACCCCGCUCCCACGGUGGCUCCAGCCAGGGGGGGCUCAGGUCAGGUCCCCCAGAAUGGAGGCGAGCCUUGCUGGGUCACCUGGAAAUGGCUCGGUCAGGACAGAGGACAGCUCCGGAUUCCCGGUAUCCUGAUGGUUUCAAUGUCCCUCUAGGGUUUCGGGCUUCAUUCCCUCCUCCUGAUCAGAGACGCAAAGAGCACUGGGACUGGGAGUUACACGGCCUGGGUCCAAAUCCCAACUCUACCCCAGCUGUGAUUUUGAACAACCCCCUCCUUCGUGGGCCCCCGGGCCCUAAUUAAUAGUGAUCCCUCGCCUUCAGAGAUGGGAUCCUGGCCUUCCAUCGCCAGCCUCUCGUCCCCAGUCUCGGACCUCCGGGCUCACAUCGCCAGCCGCCCACGGGACACUUCCAGUCCGAGGGCCCAGGGACCUCGUGACCGCGACAGAGGGACCAAACCUUCCUCUGAGUGCCGGUGGCCUCUGGGCCGCUCCUCAGACGAGGCUCUCCCUUGUCUCCCCGUCAUCUCCUCGUCCUGCUUCCUUCAAGCCUCGGUACAAGACUUUGCUGGUGCCCUUGUUCUGGCUCCCUCUGAAAACUUCCCACUUGUGUCCUACGUCCUGCCUCUCUGUCCUUUUGCCCCCCUUGCAUCCCUAGAGGUUAGCACAGUGUUUGGCAUGUGAUAAGUGGUUAUCAGUAAAACGCUUGAUAGAAUUCAUUCUUACUAAGUUCUGUGUGAUUAUAUAAUAACCCAAUAAAUCACACGAGAUGACGAUCACACUGAUAAUUACGUGUCUAGUGCAUGAUUAUUAA